Molecule: ribosomal RNA, 497 nt
Filed under: uncultured bacterium
Lineage: Bacteria
Description: partial 16S ribosomal RNA
Rfam family: Bacterial small subunit ribosomal RNA
Source: RNAcentral
GAUGAACGCUGGCGGCGUGCCUAAUACAUGCAAGUCGAGCGAACAGACGAGGAGCUUGCUCCUCUGACGUUAGCGGCGGACGGGUGAGUAACACGUGGAUAACCUACCUAUAAGGCUGGGAUAACUUCGGGAAACCGGAGCUAAUACCGGAUAAUAUAUUGAACCGCAUGGUUCAAUAGUGAAAGACGGUUUUGCUGUCACUUAUAGAUGGAUCCGCGCCGCAUUAGCUAGUUGGUAAGGUAACAGCUUACCAAGGCGACGAUGCGUAGCCGACCUGAGAGGGUGAUCGGCCAGCCGGGAACUGAGACACGGUCCAGACUCCGAGGGGAGGAAGCAGUAGGGAAUCUUACGCGAUGGGGGAAAGCUUGACGGAGCAACGCCGCGUGAGUGAUGAAGGUGUUCGGAUCGUAAAACGCUGUUAUUAGGGAAGAAGAAAUGUGUAAGUACCUAUGCACGUAUUGACGGUACCGAAUCAGAAAGCCACGGCUAACUACGUG